RNAcentral lists this ribosomal RNA (686 nucleotides) under uncultured Staphylococcus sp. RNAcentral describes it as "bacterial SSU rRNA". It matches the Rfam family "Bacterial small subunit ribosomal RNA", at positions 63 to 731 of the family's 1533-position model. Lineage: Bacteria; Bacillati; Bacillota; Bacilli; Caryophanales; Staphylococcaceae. The record is from RNAcentral.
CGAGCGAACAGACGAGGAGCUUGCUCCUCUGACGUUAGCGGCGGACGGGUGAGUAACACGUGGAUAACCUACCUAUAAGACUGGGAUAACUUCGGGAAACCGGAGCUAAUACCGGAUAAUAUAUUGAACCGCAUGGUUCAAUAGUGAAAGACGGUUUUGCUGUCACUUAUAGAUGGAUCCGCGCCGCAUUAGCUAGUUGGUAAGGUAACGGCUUACCAAGGCAACGAUGCGUAGCCGACCUGAGAGGGUGAUCGGCCACACAGGAACUGAGACACGGUCCAGACUCCUACGGGAGGCAGCAGUAGGGAAUCUUCCGCAAUGGGCGAAAGCCUGACGGAGCAACGCCGCGUGAGUGAUGAAGGUCUUCGGAUCGUAAAACUCUGUUAUUAGGGAAGAACAAAUGUGUAAGUAACUAUGCACGUCUUGACGGUACCUAAUCAGAAAGCCACGGCUAACUACGUGCCAGCAGCCGCGGUAAUACGUAGGUGGCAAGCGUUAUCCGGAAUUAUUGGGCGUAAAGCGCGCGUAGGCGGUUUUUUAAGUCUGAUGUGAAAGCCCACGGCUCAACCGUGGAGGGUCAUUGGAAACUGGAAAACUUGAGUGCAGAAGAGGAAAGUGGAAUUCCAUGUGUAGCGGUGAAAUGCGCAGAGAUAUGGAGGAACACCAGUGGCGAAGGCGACUUUCUG